Long non-coding RNA from Oxyura jamaicensis (ruddy duck), 155 nucleotides. RefSeq lists it as uncharacterized. The transcript is spliced from 3 exons. The record is from RefSeq and is a predicted model, not a curated record. NCBI's taxonomy places the organism in Eukaryota, Metazoa, Chordata, Aves, Anseriformes, Anatidae.
AGGAGCAUCAUCCCCUGCAAGAGAGGCAAGUACUCUGGGCACAAGGACAGAGGAGAUCCAGGGCAGGAAUCUCACAAACCAAGGACCAAUUUGUGCAGCCAAAAGUGGUAACACCUAGACAUCCUCCUACAUUUAAUUAUGGGCUGGCACAGGAG